Long non-coding RNA from Poecilia latipinna (sailfin molly), 1191 nucleotides. RefSeq lists it as uncharacterized. The transcript has 2 exons. The record is from RefSeq and is a predicted model, not a curated record. Lineage: Eukaryota; Metazoa; Chordata; Actinopteri; Cyprinodontiformes; Poeciliidae.
AUUUUAAAAGUGAGUUGCUCAGUUUCCAAAAUGUGAACCUCUAUUAACUGCUUGAUUGAAAGUUUAACUUGAUGUUUAUGGCACAGUGAUCUGUAAGGGAAGUUGGCAAGAUACUACUAUUGGAUAUUUCUGAUAAAUGGUCAGAUACCAGCCUGUUAGGUUCUGGGGUUGCUACUGUGCAUUCCCAUUCACCACUAGAUGGAGUCCUUGAGGCAGCCGGGCAGAGGCUCCUCCAGUACGUCAUCCUCACACCUGGGAUCAAUUACCUCCUUGAUGCUUAAGAGAGGUGGAAGCCAGUGCUUCAAUGUUGUUCAGUGAUGGUACCUCUAGCCCCUCUGAGUUAUCGCCGAGUAUCCGUUGUUGACCCUGCUUCUGCUGAAUUGAAAGUAAUUCUUUCCUGUGACAUCUGUUUUCCUGAGGUGAAUCUUGAAUCCAGAUCUGGCUUUGACUCUUUGUUUCCUUGUGACGUUGCAGGCCGUUACCCCGCUGAUGCCCGAGUCUUCAGAACCUCCAAAGACAGUUGAAACUCACCUCCAAUCCAAGAGAUCUGACUGGCAGUUCCAACACUCCUCCCACGCCUUCAAGGACUUGCCUACCUGUCCCCCCUCCGACACCGCCUCUCCAUCCAACUCAGUUCACCUCCUCCACUCUCUUUUGAAACACUCUCAAGACCACUCAGAAAGUAAACCCCAGAGACCAAAGGACCCCCGGACCAACAAUACCCCUCCAGCGCCGUUACUCAUCACCAUUUUUUGCACUGCCUGCAGCAGUCUGUUCCUUGGACCAGAGACUCAUCUGAUUUGUUUUGUGUUUGCAACAUAUCUUUAUUAUUUACGUCUUCUCUUGGUGGCGUUCUUGCAUGUGGGUAAAGUCACUUAAACCCAUCAUGACACAGCCAGUAAUCAAUGUGAGCUUUGUAUGAUCAUUGCUUAUUAUGCCAUGUGUAUAUUCUUUUUGAGGGGAAGUCCUUCCCCCAUAUACCUACUAGACUAAAGCAUUCUAUAAAAGCAUUUAAAUCCUUAAGACCCUAACCCUAAAGAAAAUAAAAAUAAAAGGAUGUGAAAACUUCACUCAGAUGUAAAUAGUACUUUUCCUCAGUUUUUCUCUUAUAAAGAUGUAACGCGUCAGUCUGUGCACCGAAGCACAUGAAAUGCAUCUAUGGGGUAAUUUCAUUCUCACUAAAAAAAGAAA